CCUACGGGAGGCAGCAGUGAGGAAUAUUGGUCAAUGGACGAGAGCCUGAUCCAGCCACGUAGCGUGAAGGAUGACUGCCCUAUGGGUUGUAAACUUCUUUUAUAAAGGAAUAAAACGAGGCACGUGUGCCUUUUUGCAUGUACGUUAUGCAUAAGAGUCGGCUAACUCCGUGCCAGCAGCCGCGGUAAUACGGAGGAUCCGGGCGUUGACCGGAUUUAUUGGGUUGAAAGGGAACGUAGAUGGUUUGUUAAGUCAGUUGUGAAAGUUUGGGGCUCAACCGUAAAAUUGCACUUGAUACUGGCAGUCUUGAGUACAGUUGAGGUAGGUGGAAUUCGUGGUGUAGCGGUGAAAUGCGUAGAUAUCACGAAGAAUCCCGAUGGCGAAGGCAGCUUACUAAACUGUGACUGACAUUGAUGCUCGAAAGUGUGGGUAUCAAACAGGAUUAGAUACCCCUGUAGUC
Molecule: ribosomal RNA, 460 nt
Filed under: uncultured bacterium
Lineage: Bacteria
Description: partial 16S ribosomal RNA
Rfam family: Bacterial small subunit ribosomal RNA
Source: RNAcentral